This 484-nucleotide ribosomal RNA is filed under the name uncultured bacterium. RNAcentral's name for it is "partial 16S ribosomal RNA". It matches the Rfam family "Bacterial small subunit ribosomal RNA", at positions 28 to 523 of the family's 1533-position model. The record is from RNAcentral.
GACGAACGCUGGCGGCGUGCUUAACACAUGCAAGUCGAACGAUGAAGCCGGAGCUUGCUCUGGUGAAUUAGUGGCGAACGGGUGAGUAACACGUGAGUAACCUGCCCUUGACUCUGGGAUAACUGCGGGAAACUGUAGCUAAUACCGGAUACGACCCUCGGAGGCAUCUCCUGGGGGUGGAAAGAAUUUCGGUCAAGGAUGGACUCGCGGCCUAUCAGCUAGUUGGUGAGGUAAAGGCUCAACAAGGCGACGACGGGUAGCCGGCCUGCGAGGGUGCCCGGCCACCCUGAGACUGGGACACAGCACAGUCUCAUACUGGAGGGAGCAGUCGGGAAUAUUGCACAAUGGGCGCAAGCCUGAUGCAGCAACGCCGCGUGAGGGAUGACGGCCUUCGGGUUGUAAACCUCUUUUAGCAGGGAAGAAGCGAAAGUGACGGUACCUGCAGAAAAAGCACCGGCUAACUACGUGCCAGCCGCCGCCGUAA